Molecule: ribosomal RNA, 232 nt
Filed under: uncultured bacterium
Lineage: Bacteria
Description: partial 16S ribosomal RNA
Rfam family: Bacterial small subunit ribosomal RNA
Source: RNAcentral
UGGGCAACCUGCCCCUAGCACUGGGAUAACCCCGGGAAACCGGAGCUAAUACCGGAUACGACCACAGUUGGCAUCAACCUGUGGUGGAAAGAUUCAUCGGCUAGGGAUGGACCCGCGGCCUAUCAGCUUGUUGGUGGGGUAGUGGCCCACCAAGGCGACGACGGGUAGCCGGCCUGAGAGGGCGACCGGCCACACUGGGACUGAGACACGGCCCAGACUCCUACGGGAGGCA